Molecule: ribosomal RNA, 160 nt
Filed under: bacterium 061235
Lineage: Bacteria
Description: partial 16S rRNA
Rfam family: Bacterial small subunit ribosomal RNA
Source: RNAcentral
UGGGGAAUAUUGCACAAUGGGCGCAAGCCUGAUGCAGCCAUGGCGCGUGUAUGAAGAAGGCCUUCGGGUUGUAAAGUACUUUCAGCGGGGAGGAAGGYGAUAAGGUUAAUAACCUUGUCGAUUGACGUUACCCGCAGAAGAAGCACCGGCUAACUCCGUG